This 2484-nucleotide long non-coding RNA is filed under the name Meleagris gallopavo (turkey). RNAcentral describes it as "lncRNA (ENSMGAG00000017679.1)". The record is from RNAcentral. Lineage: Eukaryota; Metazoa; Chordata; Aves; Galliformes; Phasianidae.
GGAUCACAGAGUAAGAUAAAAAGUUACACAGGGAAACCUAGCCCAGGUUGUUUAUCUUCCUGUGGUUUUCUAGCCACUAAACAUACUUUGUCUUUUCUGAAAACUGUUAGUGGUAUCAGUGGGGCACUGGUCAAAAANAAAAAAAAAAAAAGGAAAAAAGCCACUCCACCAUUUAAAGCUCUUCAUUUCUCUAUGCUUUCAGUACUAGCUAAAAAGCAAAAACCUCAAGUACCUGUACUUAGUAAGACUUCGGUAUCAGACAUCUUACAGUAUAGCAUAGUCCAUACAUGCUACACUAGGUAUAUGCUUGCUCAUUACUGCCUCAAGGAGCUUUUCUUUUGAGCAAAGCCCGUGUUCUCUUCUUCUUACUAGAACGGUAGCAUCAUGGGUGAUGUGUAAAAACCUCUCCCCAAAUCACAAAUAUGUUAAAUAGUAAUUAUUUCUGAAAGUGGUAAAAAAAAAAAAAAGAGAAAACUAAUUCUGGUUAAAUACUGAGAGGUGUAAAACGGAUCAGAUUAAAAAGCUCAAUUAGACAUACAGAAAAUACUAAGGGAUGCUUAAGGUGGUCUACAAACCAAACAUUUCAGAACCUGAACAUCUGGCAGAUGGGGUGAGUGCUGACUUGUUAGGCUUACUUUUCAUGUGACAGCCUACAAGACUUUGUUUUUGGAAUGUUGUGUUUUUAUUCUUGGAUAAUAAAUUAGUUCUCAAAAAAGCUACAGGAUUCUCUCUAUGCUCUAUAGCAUAUACUACACUAAUUCAGAGAUUAAAAUCUACAUUUGAAAGAUGAGGUCAUGCUGCAUGAAACUUAAGGCACGUGUAUUAAACCAAGUUGAAGUGCUUUAUGUAUCCCAGCUCAUUGCUGCACCUCAACCUGAACUUGGUCUUUUAAAAGACUUGGUCUUUUUAAUGUGCCUGCAGCAAUAAAGUAGCCUGUCCUUAGUUGAAGAAAGUAAGUUGACAAAACAAAUAACACAGACCAGGCUCUAACAAACAUAGAAAAAGUUAGUAAAAAGUCCUGUAGAAAAAUUGUAGAAACAACUUAAAUCCUGCCACAAAGCAGGUGCAAGUUGCUUCGUGGCCAUAAAUAACAAUUUCUGUUGUAGAAGGAAAAAUUCUCCCCGUGGAAAGGUCACCUGUGAACCACUACUAACUACUGUCAGGUCCUUUUCUCACCAAUGACAACUGGAAUAUACAAUCUAUCUCAAACAGUGCAAGGCUGCAACCUUUGGCUCUUGCGUAACAGAAUGAAACUUAGGCAGUGCCAAGACUGACAGGCUGCACUUCUACCAAACCAUCCACAGCGCCUUCUGAAUUAUAGCUGAGUUGUUGAGUUGCUUCUUUAGUGAGAGAGUGUUACUUUGGUAGAAGGGCACUGCAUCAUGUAGUAGGAAUGUAACUUAGCUAAUUACAGCUUCUAAACAUGUGAGGUUGUUUUCUGAAAAAUACGGAUGAAGAAUGUGAGAAGAGACUUCUGUCACAGGCUUCUAGUAGUAUUUCUUGACUGGAGGCUUGUAAGACACCAGGAGACCGAAGGAAGCAUACCCAAAUAGAAGUGUCUGAAUGAACCAGUGGAACUGAACUGCUGGGUCAGUGAUGCCUUUAGAUCUGGAACAUUAACAAAAGCAUAAGAUGUAUCAGAAAGCUUAGUCUUGCAGACUACCCUGUGAUAAUUAAAAAGGUACUUCUGCCUAACCUUGAUGCUUCAGACUUGGUUAGAACACUUAAUCUCAGAUUUGUUUCCAACUGAAGCUUAUUUCCUAAAAGACAGCACUGGUUCUUAGGAUUUUGGUGCAUUAUAAGCUGUCAACAGAACAAACUUUUUUGUGCAUGCAACUUCUUCAGCAAUACAUAACCUGCAACUUCAGUCUGUGCUGUUUCAAGUGACAAGCUUACACAACUCAAGGAUCAAUAAAUAAGACAAGCUUACUACGAAUCUUCCUUUGCUCUUCACCUCAAGUCUGCGUGUACCUUCUUGCUGACUACAGACUCUGAAGGUAGUCUGUACACUAGCAAGGCAAAGCAGCCUGACAAUUGCUCAGGUGUGACUGUGCAAUACAGGAUGGCAGAGCGCUGCUGCCUGAAUUUGUGGCUAGAAAAAGAAAGCAGAGGGGGCUCAAGAUGCUUGACUUGAUUUAUGUCAAUUAGUUUUAAAUUAGCAUAUGCAAAUCUUUUGUUUGUUACAGAAAGAGGUCUAGUAAUGCUAUUAAGAACCUGUCUGCAAGCUGACUUAGGCUCCAGUAAGUACAUUAGCGAUGUGAAGCAAUAGUAACUUCAGCCCACAGUACCAAUACUGUCAUGCUUUUUACCUCUUAAAAACUGAAUCACAUUCACCUUAGUAAAGAUAAUUGUCUUUCUUAGCAGUGUCACACCGCUUCUUGCAUUCUGGUGUUGUUGGGAAAUACUUUCAGAGAAGCAAAAACAUGAAAGCUGAAACAACUGCCUUCAUGUUUCUAGAGAAUUAUGUUAACCAUAAGCAUACUU